This 253-nucleotide ribosomal RNA is filed under the name uncultured bacterium. Its description in RNAcentral is "partial 16S ribosomal RNA". It matches the Rfam family "Bacterial small subunit ribosomal RNA", at positions 524 to 776 of the family's 1533-position model. The record is from RNAcentral.
UACGUAGGUGGCAAGCGUUGUCCGGAAUUAUUGGGCGUAAAGCGCGCGCAGGCGGUCCUUUAAGUCUGAUGUGAAAGCCCACGGCUCAACCGUGGAGGGUCAUUGGAAACUGGGGGACUUGAGUACAGAAGAGAAGAGUGGAAUUCCACGUGUAGCGGUGAAAUGCGUAGAGAUGUGGAGGAACACCAGUGGCGAAGGCGGCUUCCUGGGCCGCGCCUGACGCUGAGACGCGAAAGCGUGGGGAGCGAACGGG